This 477-nucleotide ribosomal RNA is filed under the name uncultured anaerobic ammonium-oxidizing bacterium. RNAcentral describes it as "bacterial SSU rRNA". It matches the Rfam family "Bacterial small subunit ribosomal RNA", at positions 365 to 832 of the family's 1533-position model. The record is from RNAcentral.
UUCGCAAUGCCCGAAAGGGUGACGAAGCGACGCCGCGUGUGGGAAGAAGGCCUUCGGGUUGUAAACCUCUGUUGGGAGUUAGGAAGUGUGGAGGUGUUAAUAGCGCCUUCACUUGACUAAAGCUCCAGAGGAAGCCACGGCUAACUCUGUGCCAGCAGCCGCGGUAAUACAGAGGCGGCAAGCGUUGUUCGGAAUUAUUGGGCGUAAAGAGCACGUAGGCGGCUCUGCAAGUCAGCUGUGAAAGCCUUCUGCUUAACGGAAGAACAGCAGUUGAAACUACAGGGCUUGAGUGUGGGAGAGGAGAGUGGAACUUCUGGUGGAGCGGUGAAAUGCGUAGAUAUCAGAAGGAACGCCGGCGGCGAAAGCGGCUCUCUGGCCCGUAACUGACGCUGAGUGUGCGAAAGCUAGGGGAGCAAACGGGAUUAGAUACCCCGGUAGUCCUAGCGGUAAACGAUGGGCACUAAGUAGAGGGGUUUU